RNAcentral lists this ribosomal RNA (465 nucleotides) under uncultured bacterium. RNAcentral's name for it is "partial 16S ribosomal RNA". It matches the Rfam family "Bacterial small subunit ribosomal RNA", at positions 28 to 507 of the family's 1533-position model. The record is from RNAcentral.
GACGAACGCUGGCGGCGUGCUUAACACAUGCAAGUCGAACGGAAAGGCCCUGCUUGCAGGGUACUCGAGUGGCGAACGGGUGAGUAACACGUGGGUGAUCUGCCCUGCACUUCGGGAUAAGCCUGGGAAACUGGGUCUAAUACCGGAUAGGAGCCAUUUUUAGUGUGAUGGUUGGAAAGUUUUUUCGGUGUAGGAUGAGCUCGCGGCCUAUCAGCUUGUUGGUGGGGUAAUGGCCUACCAAGGCGGCGACGGGUAGCCGGCCUGAGAGGGUGGACGGCCACAUUGGGACUGGGAUACGGCCCAGACUCCUACGGGAGGCAGCAGUGGGGAAGAUUGCACAAUGGGCGCAAGCCUGAUGCAGCGACGCCGCGUGGGGGAUGACGGCCUUCGGGUUGUAAACUCCUUUCGCUGGGGACGAAGCUUUUUGUGACGGUACCUAGAUAAGAAGCACCGGCUAACUACGUG